AAAAAGGAUUUUCUAAAAUCCAUUUUUCUGACCUUUAUCAUAAAAG
Non-coding RNA from Oryctolagus cuniculus (rabbit), 46 nucleotides. NCBI's taxonomy places the organism in Eukaryota, Metazoa, Chordata, Mammalia, Lagomorpha, Leporidae. The record is from Rfam.